Molecule: ribosomal RNA, 497 nt
Filed under: uncultured bacterium
Lineage: Bacteria
Description: partial 16S ribosomal RNA
Rfam family: Bacterial small subunit ribosomal RNA
Source: RNAcentral
GAUGAACGCUGGCGGCGUGCCUAAUACAUGCAAGUCGAGCGAACAGACGAGGAGCUUGCUCCUCUGACGUUAGCGGCGGACGGGUGAGUAACACGUGGAUAACCUACCUAUAAGACUGGGAUAACUUCGGGAAACCGGAGCUAAUACCGUAUAACAUGUUGAACCGCAUGGUUCAACAGUGAAAGACGGUCUUGCUGUCACUUAUAGAUGGAUCCGCGCCGCAUUAGCUAGUUGGUAAGGUAACGGCUUACCAAGGCAACGAUGCGUAGCCGACCUGAGAGGGUGAUCGGCCACACUAGAGCUGAGACGCGGUCCAGACUCCUACGGGAGGCGCGAGUAGGGAAUCUUCCGCAAUGGGCGAAAGCCUGACGGAGCAACGCCGCGUGAGUGAAGAAGAUCUUCAGAUCGUAAACCUCUGUUAUUAGGGAAGAACAAAUGUGUAAGUAACUAUGCACGUCUUGACGGUACCUAAUCAGAAAGCCACGGCUAACUACGUG